Molecule: ribosomal RNA, 301 nt
Filed under: uncultured bacterium
Lineage: Bacteria
Description: partial 16S ribosomal RNA
Rfam family: Bacterial small subunit ribosomal RNA
Source: RNAcentral
CAGCAGCCGCGGGAAUACGAAGGGUGCAAGCGUUAAUCGGAAUUACUGGGCGUAAAGCGUGCGUAGGCGGUGAGUUAAGUCUGCUGUGAAAUCUCCGGGCUCAACCUGGGAAUGGCAGUGGAUACUGGCUCGCUAGAGUGUGUCAGAGGAUGGUGGAAUUCCCGGUGUAGCAGUGAAAUGCGUAGAGAUCGGAAGGAACAUCUGUGGCGAAGGCGACUAUCUGGGCCAACACUGACACUGAGGCACGAAAGCGUGGGGAGCAAACAGGAUUAGAUACCCGAGUAGUCCCUGUCUCUUAUAC